CUACGGGCGGCUGCAGUGGGGAAUAUUGGACAAUGGGCGAAAGCCUGAUCCAGCCAUGCCGCGUGUGUGAAGAAGGCCUUCGGGUUGUAAAGCACUUUCAGUGGGGAAGAAAGCCUUGGGGCUAAUACCCUCGAGGAAGGACAUCACCCACAGAAGAAGCACCGGCUAACUCCGUGCCAGCAGCCGCGGUAAUACGGAGGGUGCGAGCGUUAAUCGGAAUUACUGGGCGUAAAGCGCGCGUAGGCGGUCUGAUAAGCCGGUUGUGAAAGCCCCGGGCUCAACCUGGGAACGGCAUCCGGAACUGUCAGGCUAGAGUGCAGGAGAGGAAGGUAGAAUUCCCGGUGUAGCGGUGAAAUGCGUAGAGAUCGGGAGGAAUACCAGUGGCGAAGGCGGCCUUCUGGACUGACACUGACGCUGAGGUGCGAAAGCGUGGGUAGCAAACAGGAUUAGAUACCCGUGUAGUC
This 464-nucleotide ribosomal RNA is filed under the name Vreelandella stevensii. Its description in RNAcentral is "partial 16S ribosomal RNA". It matches the Rfam family "Bacterial small subunit ribosomal RNA", at positions 339 to 795 of the family's 1533-position model. The record is from RNAcentral. Lineage: Bacteria; Pseudomonadati; Pseudomonadota; Gammaproteobacteria; Oceanospirillales; Halomonadaceae.